AACGAACGCUGGCGGCGCGUCUUAAGCAUGCAAGUCGAACGGCAAGAGAGGAGCUUGCUUCUCUCCUAGAGUGGCGGACUGGUGAGGAACACGUGGGUAAUCUACCCUUAAGAUGGGGAUAGCUGCUAGAAAUAGCAGGUAAUACCGAAUACACUCGGCAUAUCACAAGAGGUGUUGAGGAAAGGAAGCUACGGCUUCGCUUGAGGAUGAGCUUGCGUCCCAUUAGCUAGUUGGUGAGGUAAAGGCCCACCAAGGCGACGAUGGGUAUCCGGUCUGAGAGGGUGAACGGACACAUUGGGACUGAGAUACGGCCCAAACUCCUACGGGAGGCAGCAGCUAAGAAUAUUCCGCAAUGGACGGAAGUCUGACGGAGCGACGCCGCGUGGAUGAAGAAGGCUGAAAAGUUGUAAAAUCCUUUUGUUGAUGAAGAAUAAGGGUGAGAGGGAAUGCUCAUCUGAUGACGGUAAUCGACGAAUAAGCCCCGGCUAAUUACGUG
RNAcentral lists this ribosomal RNA (496 nucleotides) under uncultured bacterium. RNAcentral's name for it is "partial 16S ribosomal RNA". It matches the Rfam family "Bacterial small subunit ribosomal RNA", at positions 29 to 507 of the family's 1533-position model. The record is from RNAcentral.